AAUGUGGAAACAAGAACUGAGUGAAUAAUUUUUAAUAUUUCCUCUCUUUUUCUCUUCACAGAAUGUCCACAUACAAAUCACGAUUGUCAUAAAGCUGUGACACUUUGGAGUUGCUGGUAUCAGGACUGGCGAGGAUCUGUGGUGUUGCUUUCCUUUCAGACUGAGGAAGCAUUAUAAAAAAUGAAGAUCUGUAUUCUGUUAACUGUUGCUUUAAAAAAUAAGCUAUUAAGGGCAGAUGUGAAAUGAAAUGAGACAUACUGAUGGAAGAGUAAAUAAAAAUGUUAAGACCAUUAAUACUCUGGAGAAA
RNAcentral lists this long non-coding RNA (307 nucleotides) under Chrysemys picta bellii (western painted turtle). RNAcentral's name for it is "lncRNA (ENSCPBG00000003574.1)". Lineage: Eukaryota; Metazoa; Chordata; Testudines; Emydidae. The record is from RNAcentral.